This 396-nucleotide ribosomal RNA is filed under the name uncultured bacterium. RNAcentral's name for it is "partial 16S ribosomal RNA". It matches the Rfam family "Bacterial small subunit ribosomal RNA", at positions 360 to 773 of the family's 1533-position model. The record is from RNAcentral.
AAUAUUGGACAAUGGGGGCAACCCUGAUCCAGCCAUGCCGCGUGAGUGAUGAAGGCCUUAGGGUUGUAAAGCUCUUUCACCGGUGAAGAUAAUGACGGUAGCCGGAGAAGAAGCCCCGGCUAACUUCGUGCCAGCAGCCGCGGUAAUACGAAGGGGGCUAGCGUUGUUCGGAAUUACUGGGCGUAAAGCGCACGUAGGCGGAUCGGUCAGUUAGGGGUGAAAUCCCAGGGCUCAACCCUGGAACUGCCUUUAAUACUGCCGGUCUUGAGUUCGAGAGAGGUGAGUGGAAUUCCGAGUGUAGAGGUGAAAUUCGUAGAGAUGCGGAGGAAUACCGAUGGCGAAGGCAGCCCCCUGGGAUAAUACUGACGCUCAGGCACGAAAGCGUGGGGAGCAAAC